This is a small nuclear RNA of Panthera pardus (leopard), 66 nucleotides long. Its record names the gene U7. It matches the Rfam family "U7 small nuclear RNA". Rfam says of the family: Animal histone pre-mRNAs are spliced by a different mechanism than nuclear pre-mRNAs and self-splicing introns. NCBI's taxonomy places the organism in Eukaryota, Metazoa, Chordata, Mammalia, Carnivora, Felidae. The record is from Ensembl.
GAGUGUUACAGCUCUUUUAGAAUUUGUCUAGCAGGGUUUCCAGUCCUUACUGGAAGACAACCCCAC